Molecule: ribosomal RNA, 301 nt
Filed under: uncultured bacterium
Lineage: Bacteria
Description: partial 16S ribosomal RNA
Rfam family: Bacterial small subunit ribosomal RNA
Source: RNAcentral
CAGUCGCCGCGGUAAUACGGAGGGUGCAAGCGUUAAUCGGAAUUACUGGGCGUAAAGCGUGCGUAGGCGGUUCGUUAGGUCUGUUGUGAAAGCCCCGGGCUCAACCUGGGAAUGGCAAUGGAUACUGGCGAGCUAGAGUGUGUCAGAGGAUGGUGGAAUUCCCGGUGUAGCGGUGAAAUGCGUAGAGAUCGGGAGGAACAUCAGUGGCGAAGACGGCCAUCUGGGACAACACUGACGCUGAGGCACGGAAGCGUGGGGAGCAAACAGGAUUAGAUACCCGAGUAGUCCCUGUCUCUUAUAC